CACUCCUGCGGGAGGCAGCAGUGGGGAAUAUUGGACAAUGGGCGCAAGCCUGAUCCAGCCAUGCCGCGUGAGUGAUGAAGGCCCUAGGGUUGUAAAGCUCUUUCACCGGUGAAGAUAAUGACGGUAACCGGAGAAGAAGCCCCGGCUAACUUCGUGCCAGCAGCCGCGGUAAUACGAAGGGGGCUAGCGUUGUUCGGAUUUACUGGGCGUAAAGCGCACGUAGGCGGACUAUUAAGUCAGGGGUGAAAUCCCGGGGCUCAACCCCGGAACUGCCUUUGAUACUGGUAGUCUUGAGUUCGAGAGAGGUGAGUGGAAUUCCGAGUGUAGAGGUGAAAUUCGUAGAUAUUCGGAGGAACACCAGUGGCGAAGGCGGCUCACUGGCUCGAUACUGACGCUGAGGUGCGAAAGCGUGGGGAGCAAACAGGAUUAGAUACCCUAGUAGUCCCAUGA
RNAcentral lists this ribosomal RNA (450 nucleotides) under uncultured organism. RNAcentral's name for it is "partial 16S ribosomal RNA". It matches the Rfam family "Bacterial small subunit ribosomal RNA", at positions 334 to 800 of the family's 1533-position model. The record is from RNAcentral.